GCCGGAGUGGCGGAAUGGCAGACGCGCCGGAUUCAAAAUCCGGUAUGGGUAAUUCCAUGUGCGGGUUCGACCCCCGCCUCCGGUA
Molecule: transfer RNA, 85 nt
Filed under: Fuerstiella sp.
Lineage: Bacteria; Pseudomonadati; Planctomycetota; Planctomycetia; Planctomycetales; Planctomycetaceae
Also listed under: 3 other names
Rfam family: tRNA
About the family: Transfer RNA (tRNA) molecules are approximately 80 nucleotides in length. Their secondary structure includes four short double-helical elements and three loops (D, anti-codon, and T loops).
Source: Rfam by way of RNAcentral